UACGGAGGGUGCGAGCGUUGUCCGGAAUCAUUGGGCGUAAAGGGUGCGUAGGUGGCCCGGUCAGUCUUUGGUGAAAGCGCGGGGCUCAACCCUGCGUCGGCCAGGGAUACUGCCGCGGCUCGAGCACUGUAGAGGCAGGCGGAAUUCCGGGUGUAGCGGUGGAAUGCGUGGAGAUCCGGAAGAACACCGGUGGCGAAGGCGGCCUGCUGGGCAGUUUAGCUGACACUGAGGCGCGACAGCGUGGGGAGCAAACAGG
RNAcentral lists this ribosomal RNA (256 nucleotides) under uncultured bacterium. RNAcentral describes it as "partial 16S ribosomal RNA". It matches the Rfam family "Bacterial small subunit ribosomal RNA", at positions 524 to 776 of the family's 1533-position model. The record is from RNAcentral.